GAGGGAUGCAUGCAUCUGUAGCAACGCAAGCAUGAACGAGAAGUCGGCCCCACGAAGCGCCGAAGGCAGAUAGGAAAGCAAGUAAAAGCACAAAAAGUUGGCCUAGUCUCACAUGGGGCUAUCACGGAGAGGACCAAUUCCUCUGUUCCACAUGGUAAGCUAGCAGCAUGGAGAUUUUUUCCUUUUUAGGAAAAAACAAUGCCUAAAAUAUAUGAGG
This 217-nucleotide long non-coding RNA is filed under the name Elaeis guineensis (African oil palm). RNAcentral describes it as "long non-coding RNA (EGUI_LNC000638)". Lineage: Eukaryota; Viridiplantae; Streptophyta; Magnoliopsida; Arecales; Arecaceae. The record is from RNAcentral.